AACCAGACUCCUACGGGAGGCAGCAGUGGGGAAUAUUGCACAAUGGGGGAAACCCUGAUGCAGCAACGCCGCGUGAAGGAAGACGGUUUUCGGAUUGUAAACUUCUGUUCUUAGUGAAGAAGAAUGACGGUAGCUAAGGAGCAAGCCACGGCUAACUACGUGCCAGCAGCCGCGGUAAUACGUAGGGAGCAAGCGUUGUCCGGAAUUACUGGGUGUAAAGGGAGCGUAGGCGGGAGGAUAAGUUGAAUGUGAAAUCUAUGGGCUCAACCUAUAGCUGCGUUCAAAACUGUUCUUCUUGAGUGAAGUAGAGGCAGGCGGAAUUCCUAGUGUAGCGGUGAAAUGCGUAGAUAUUAGGAGGAACACCAGUGGCGAAGGCGGCCUGCUGGGCUUUUACUGACGCUGAGGCUCGAAAGCGUGGGUAGCAAACAGGAUUAGAUACCCCGGUAGCA
RNAcentral lists this ribosomal RNA (449 nucleotides) under uncultured bacterium. Its description in RNAcentral is "bacterial SSU rRNA". It matches the Rfam family "Bacterial small subunit ribosomal RNA", at positions 329 to 795 of the family's 1533-position model. The record is from RNAcentral.